This 253-nucleotide ribosomal RNA is filed under the name uncultured bacterium. RNAcentral describes it as "partial 16S ribosomal RNA". It matches the Rfam family "Bacterial small subunit ribosomal RNA", at positions 524 to 776 of the family's 1533-position model. The record is from RNAcentral.
UACGAAGGGGGCUAGCGUUGCUCGGAAUUACUGGGCGUAAAGCGCACGUAGGCGGAUUGUUAAGUCUUGCGUGAAAUCUCGGGGCUCAACCCCGAGCGGUCGUGAGAAACUGGCAGGCUAGAGCGCGGGAGAGGAGAGUGGAAUUCCUGGUGUAGCGGUGAAAUGCGCAGAUAUCAGGAAGAACACCCGUGGCGAAGGCGGUUCUCUGGAACGCAAUUGACGCUGAGACGCGAAAGCGUGGGGAGCAAACAGG